UACGGGGGGGGCAAGCGUUGUUCGGAAUUACUGGGCGUAAAGGGCUCGUAGGCGGCCAACUAAGUCAGACGUGAAAUCCCUCGGCUUAACCGGGGAACUGCAUCUGAUACUGGAUGGCUUGAGUUCGGGAGAGGGAUGCGGAAUUCCAGGUGUAGCGGUGAAAUGCGUAGAUAUCUGGAGGAACACCGGUGGCGAAGGCGGCAUCCUGGAUCGACACUGACGCUGAGGAGCGAAAGCCAGGGGAGCAAACGGG
Molecule: ribosomal RNA, 253 nt
Filed under: uncultured bacterium
Lineage: Bacteria
Description: partial 16S ribosomal RNA
Rfam family: Bacterial small subunit ribosomal RNA
Source: RNAcentral